Molecule: ribosomal RNA, 253 nt
Filed under: uncultured bacterium
Lineage: Bacteria
Description: partial 16S ribosomal RNA
Rfam family: Bacterial small subunit ribosomal RNA
Source: RNAcentral
UACGGGGGGGGCAAGCGGUGUUCGGAAUUACUGGGCGUAAAGGGCUCGUAGGCGGCCAACUAAGUCAGACGUGAAAUCCCUCGGCUUAACCGGGGAACUGCGUCUGAUACUGGAUGGCUGGAGUUUGGGAGAGGGAUGCGGAAUUCCAGGUGUAGCGGUGAAAUGCGUAGAUAUCUGGAGGAACACCGGUGGCGAAGGCGGCAUCCUGGACCAAUACUGACGCUGAGGAGCGAAAGCCAGGGGAGCAAACGGG